UCGAAACCCAGGAAGCUUUGUGUGUUCCCCUAAUACGUCAUAUUUGCUUCGCCUUAAAAAAGUGAACGAGAAAUGCUUACUUUAUCCUUUUCGACACAUAGAUUGAUUUGGGACAUGUACAGUUGUGGUGGGCUCCUGCUCUCUGUUAUCCUGAAAGGGAAUGAGUGGACAGAUGGAUGAAAGAAUGGAUGGAGCAGCUCUGCACUGAAGUUACUUUAUUACACUUUGAUGUUCCUACUCCAUUGAUGAUUUUCUUUGACGAUGAACUUCUGCUGUUCCAGACUGUACAUUAUUUGGCAUGCUGGGUUUCUGGUCCUCUUCAUUGAUGCUGUCACUUUACCAUUUAAAGUAAACUGUAAGAAUCCACAGACUACACAGAUCAACAGGAACUUCACCCUUAAUUGCACAACAGAGGGACGAAAUAGCGACGAGCUCACUUUUGUUCAGUGGUAUAAAGGUGGUUCUGUUCUGGCUGUGUACACUGAGAACUCAAAUCACAAUGGGAAUGAUCAGUCAACAAGAUUUGCACUGGACAAGAAUCGAAUCAGACAAGGAGACAUCUCCCUAGACAUAACAGAUGUGCAAAAAAUUGACGAAGGCAACUAUCACUACGCAGUUUCAACAAUAAAAGUGCUACGUGAAGGAGACAUACUUUUGAAAGUAAAAUUGCCUUAUGAAGUUGAAUGUCCAAGUCCACAGAUAGCCUUCCCAAAUAUGAAUACCUUAAUAAAUUGCACAAUUAAGAACCUGAACAGUGAUAUGCUGACAUAUGUCUUCUGGACCAAAGAUCAUAAUAUUCUGGCCAGCUAUCGAAGAACAAAAAGUGAAGUAACACCAGUUCAACAAUCCAGAUUUUCUCUCAGCCAAGAUAUUAUCAACCAAGGAGACUUCUCCCUUUACAUCAGAGAUAUACAGCAAUCAGACAAUGGGCUGUAUCGGUAUUCACUGGGAAUUGAUAACACACAUGAAGAAGGAGAAGUGAUGCUUGAAAUAAGAGCUCAAGAAAUCCCUAGUGUCAGGAAAUGGAGAGUUGCCACAGUCUGUGCUGUAGGUGGAAUUUUGGCUUGUGUGGUCAUUGCUGCAGUUUUCCUCAUUAGACGUAGAGGUAAUCUAGUAAGCCACCCCACCCCACAUCCCACGGACAUAAGUGUUAGGUAAAUUGGUGACUGUAAGCUGACCCCAUGUGAGUCUGUGUGGGUGAAUUCAUGAGUGUGAUAGGCUGGUGUUUUGUCCAAGAUGGUUUCCUACUUUGUGCUCAAUACUGCCAGGAUAAGGUCCAGUUCCCCAUAACCCUGGAGUGGAUUACACAAGAACAGAUAAAUGCACCACUGUGACUGAAGUCUCCACAAGGAGACCAGAGAGUCUUCAGCUUGAAGUGCGUGAACCACAGAAUGAGGAAUCAGCUCAACUGGAUGAAUGACAAAGACGCGGAGACUUAAUAGCCUGAAAUAGGGUCAGCUGCAUUUCCUAUUUCGGAUGACCUUGGCUGCAAAAAUCUAUAUAUAUGGUCCUACAGAGAGUUGCAGGUUUUAAAGAUGAAUGUGGAAAUUUUCUGCCUCAUUCUAGUAAAACUUCUUAAAUCUGAACUCACUCAAAAGGAUUAAACUGUUAUGUUUUAUCCAAGGUUGCUUCCCUGGUUUAUGUUCCUUUUCUUUAUCAUUUUUGUUCAUUAAUCUAUUUUAAAUCAUUUAGUAUGGUUAUUCUCGUUAGUAUUGUUCCGUUCAUUUAUGACUUUGUCUAUAUAUUUAAAAUAUCAUUGUUUGUUAUUUUUAAAAAUAUUUAUGUACUGUUACUUUAAAUGUUUUAUAAUCCCUCUGUUUUGUCUGUGGUUCCCCAAAGAGAUGGGGUUACCUGUUAAAUUGAUAAAGAUUUUUGUGGACCUGUCUCUAACCCCAGUUAGAGUAUUUAUGGAGUACCCCAAGACGUAUUAUUACUGAGCUAUUAUUAUUAUUAUUGCUAUUCAUUUUAGAAUUUGAAAUCCUGUUCACCAUUUUGGGGCCUAGUCUGACCUGAAGCCUCCCACUUUCCUAGACUCAGGCUUGCCUUAGAGUGAGAUCUGGUUUUGUAGGCUAUUUUUGAAGGCCUUACACUUUACUGUUUUAUGAAGUCAGAAAAUUCAGAAGAGCUACUGGGUAAAGAUAUAACAUGUUUAGUGUUAUGUUACUUUUGUAGCGCAAGUCUGGCAUUUAAUAUGAUAAAUACUCAUGUCUUUAUGCAGUCAUAAAAAUAUAUUAUAAACAGAAAAAAAAAUGCAAAACAACUCAUCAAGGCUUCCAUUAAAACAUGAACACAAAUGAGCUUCGUAAUGUGCAAUAAAACCCCACAAACUUUCCAAGAAGUAAUGAAAUGAUAAUAAAACAAAGUAUGAACAAACUGUGUAACAGUAACGCAUGGCAAAUAAAUCGAACAAUAUUGUUAAAAUUGUAAAGAAAAAUGUUACAGGCCCCAUUAUUAGAUUUGUUUUGCAGAGACAAUUAGAUAAAAUACCUUGACCCUUAAAAAUACAUACAGUGGAACCUCUAGAUACGAGUUUAAUUCGUUCCAGCACUGAGCUUGUAUAGCGAAUUUCUCGUAUCUAGAACAAACGUCCCCAUUGAAAAUAAUGGAAAUCCAGUUAAUCCGUUCCGCAUCCCAAAUAUAUUAACAUAAAAAUCAAUUUUCCUAACAAAUAACACUGAUAAAUUAUAUAUACUGUAGUCUACCUUUAAUAAAUAACACUGGUAAAUAAUAUAACUGAUUAUUAAAAGAAUCAAAACAGGUGUCCAAAGUGCAGUAGAGCAUUCAAUAAAUCUUUAAUCCUUAAAACAGUUGUGAAGUGGAGGUUUAAAGUACAUAAGAAUAACAAUCCUUUAACACGAGGUUAAAACGUCAACGGGAAGCAGUCUUCAAGAAACAGAUGACAAUCCCCGGUGCUUCUUCUCUGUUAGCGUCUCACCUGCUUCUCCCAUGCGGGCUCUGCAACAGGCGAGACACUUAAUGCAGCUGACCUUCUCUACACCGUCCUGCUUCAGCUGUUUGGCUCGCCUGUUCAGCUACACGCGAGCCUGUACUCGCUCGCUCUCCCGCACCGACUUCCUACUGCUGCGGAUUCCUGCCUCCUCCUGCAACCUCCGUUCUCUCUCCUCUCCUCUCCUCUCUUUUCUUUUACUUCUUCUCCCCCUUAACCGGCUCGCGCUUCUCUAUAUAUGCGGGGAAGACAUGGCAGCUGCUAGGGUUACCACUUUUAAUACAAAAAAAUAAGGGACGCAUACGUAUUGAUUCAAAACGGGAUGCGCAAUUUCAUUCUCAAAUACUGGACGAUUCCGUAUUUUAAAGGACGGGUGGCAACCCUGCCCACCCCAUCAGCCACAGGACAAAUCAUGGAUGUGGGCAGUUUCCCACCUGUGCACUUAGGUGAGAAACGCAGACACCGCAGAUCACCCUGCGGCUCGCUACAGCUACCACGCCCCCUCGCUAAGCCGCGAGCUAUACCCACAGCCUGGCUCGUGGCUCGUUACGUGAGCCAAUGCUCGUAUUUAGAUCUGAAUUUUUCGCUCAUACUUUCCUCGUAUUUUGAAUUUCUCGUAUACAGAGGUGAUCGUAUCUCGAGGUUCCACUGUAUAUUCAAAAAUACUUAUAAUCUCCAUAAAAAAUACACCGUUUAAAUAAUUAAAAAAGUAAACAUUUGCGGCACAUGGAUUUUACUUCCUCACUGAAACACCCAGUUAGCUGUUGAUCACUUCACACUCCUGGCUUCAGACCUAUUCUAGGCCAAUUUAUACAGGUGGGUGAAUUAGUCCCUUAAAGAGACAACACCCACCAUAUUCC
This is an RNA transcript of Erpetoichthys calabaricus (reedfish), 3807 nucleotides long. RefSeq lists it as uncharacterized. NCBI's taxonomy places the organism in Eukaryota, Metazoa, Chordata, Cladistia, Polypteriformes, Polypteridae. The record is from RefSeq and is a predicted model, not a curated record. The transcript is spliced from 8 exons.